Long non-coding RNA from Alosa sapidissima (American shad), 1466 nucleotides. RefSeq lists it as uncharacterized. The record is from RefSeq and is a predicted model, not a curated record. The transcript has 10 exons. Lineage: Eukaryota; Metazoa; Chordata; Actinopteri; Clupeiformes; Clupeidae.
ACGUAUGGAGGGAUUUGUGAGCUCUGCUGCAGAUCAGGACUUUGACACAUUGAGUCACACCAGUGUGAGAGAAUGUUACCGCAGCAGCAGCAGCACUGACUAGACCAUUACUGGACUGUGACAGCACUGACUGACCAUUACUGGACUGUGACAGCACUGACUGACCAUUACUGGACUGUGACAGCACUGACUAGACCAUACUGGACUCAGACCUGAGGUUCCCCAUUUCCAUUCCCUUUCAUCAGCAUACUAGUGGGGGUCCUCAAAAUCUUUGGUGCUUAUCACAUGUUGCGAUAACUUGGUUUCGCUUCCUAUUGGAAACUAUUGCUGCCUACAAUAGUUUAGUAAUUGUCACAGACGUUUCUCUCUUGGACUUGAUUUCUGACCUGCUGAACAAGUAAAGGAAUCUUCUGAAUUUUUUAUCUCUUUUUUGGCAUCUAGAUCUUAACAUACUACUUCAUGGUAUGAGGUGGAGCUUUUGACCAACAACAAACAAGAUGUCCUGAAGUGGAUGGAACAGUCAUCUGUUUAUUGUUUGCAGAAUAAACACACAGCGCAGGACACUGUUGUAAAGGGUGAACUGGUAAAGUAAAUUCAAAUGGGAUGUUGGUCGGGGAAGCUGCUAGUCCUGUUGUCAGGAAUAAUUCCCUGUUGCCUGUGGAUUACCAUGAAUAUGCUGGGAGCUGUAACUGUGCAACAACAGAGAGCACACAAAGUGUUCGCAGGUAACAGCUAUGCUACUGUGACGUGGAUCCCGCCUGCAUCACAAAACCCUAUGGAUCACCUGCCAGAUUAUGCGGCUACUCUUGAAGGGAUCAUUCUUCCUUUGUGGGAACCUGGACACUGGACAAUAUGUAAGUAAAUAAACAUCGCCAAGAUCUUGUCCCCCGGACCAUGGGAAACCUUGGGUGUGGACGAUGUUCAGGGAUUGUCAAAGCAAGGACCAUCAAAUAACUGUGGGGUGUUUGUUUUGAUGUAUGCAAUGUACUGUAUAUAGUGAUGGGAACACAGUGUGAUUUCACUGAGGAACCUAUGAGGAAAAUAAGGCGCUGGUGGUGUCUUGUUCUUCUACAUAACUUUCCGAUGCCGUCUGACUACAGAAUCGAGAGGCGUCGAGAACAAAACUUACUCAACAAGGAUGAUAUGGAAGUACCCCCCACAAAGGCACAGUGUGAAGAUGUGAUUUACAUCAACCACAAAUAAGAACUUUGAGGAAGACAGCCCACUGACCCCUACCCAGGAUCUGGAUUUGCUCUUCCAUUUGUUUCUCCAUUAUGAAGAUUAUUAGAUUAUUAAAUCACUCUGUGUCUGAUGUCUAUUAGCCUCUGCAAUGCACUGUGUGUUUUUAUACGCCUACAUUUAUGACAUUGAACCCAUAUUUCAUGUUGUCUAUGAAAAUAAUUCCAAGACUGAAUGGAAUUAUUAGUUUAUUAUUGAAUUAUAAAUGAUAGGCUAGAAAGUCAAAA